This 493-nucleotide ribosomal RNA is filed under the name uncultured bacterium. RNAcentral's name for it is "bacterial SSU rRNA". It matches the Rfam family "Bacterial small subunit ribosomal RNA", at positions 903 to 1397 of the family's 1533-position model. The record is from RNAcentral.
AAAGGAAUUGACGGGGACCCGCACAAGCGGUGGAUGAUGUGGAUUAAUUCGAUGCAACGCGAAGAACCUUACCUGGUCUUGACAUGUACGGAAUCUCUUAGAGAUAGGAGAGUGCCUUCGGGAGCCGUAACACAGGUGCUGCAUGGCUGUCGUCAGCUCGUGUCGUGAGAUGUUGGGUUAAGUCCCGCAACGAGCGCAACCCUUGCCAUUAGUUGCCAUCAUUUGGUUGGGCACUCUAAUGGGACUGCCGGUGACAAACCGGAGGAAGGUGGGGAUGACGUCAAGUCCUCAUGGCCCUUAUGACCAGGGCUUCACACGUCAUACAAUGGUCGGUACAGAGGGUAGCCAAGCCGCGAGGUGGAGCCAAUCCCAGAAAACCGAUCGUAGUCCGGAUUGCACUCUGCAACUCGAGUGCAUGAAGUCGGAAUCGCUAGUAAUCGCAGGUCAGCAUACUGCGGUGAAUACGUUCCCGGGUCUUGUACACACCGCCCGU